This 205-nucleotide long non-coding RNA is filed under the name Physcomitrium patens. RNAcentral describes it as "long non-coding RNA (PPAT_LNC005774)". The record is from RNAcentral. Lineage: Eukaryota; Viridiplantae; Streptophyta; Bryopsida; Funariales; Funariaceae.
AAUAUACGAGUAACUUUAUCGGGUUUCAUAGCGAUACCUUCAACAGAGACAAUGUGUUCCAAUAGCUUUCCCAAUGGUACGCCAAAUUGACACUUCUCCAAAUUUUGAGAUAUUCCAUACUUGUCGCAUUGAUUCAAACAGUUAUCCAAGCAUAUUAGAUAUUCAGCCAUUGUGCUAAAGAUGCAGAAAUCGUCCAAAAAUAUCU